RNAcentral lists this ribosomal RNA (253 nucleotides) under uncultured bacterium. RNAcentral describes it as "partial 16S ribosomal RNA". It matches the Rfam family "Bacterial small subunit ribosomal RNA", at positions 524 to 776 of the family's 1533-position model. The record is from RNAcentral.
UACGAAGGGGGCUAGCGUUGUUCGGAAUCACUGGGCGUAAAGGGCGCGUAGGCGGCCGAUCAAGUCGGGGGUGAAAGCCUGUGGCUCAACUUCGGAACUGCCUUUGAUACAGCACGUCUUGAGUCCGAUAGAGGUGGGUGGAAUUCCUAGUGUAGAGGUGAAAUUCGUAGAUAUUAGGAAGAACACCGGUGGCGAAGGCGGCCCACUGGAUCGGUACUGACGCUGAGGUGCGAAAGCGUGGGGAGCAAACAGG